AUUGAACGCUGGCGACAGGCUUAACACAUGCAAGUCGAGCGAGCGGCGGACGGGUUAGUUAUGUCUGUGAAACUGCCUGAUGGAGGGGGAUAACUACUGGAAACGGUAGCUACUACCGCAUACCUUCAGCUGUGCCCAGAUGGGAUUAGCUAGUGGGUGGGGUAAUGGCUCACGUAGGCGACGAUCCCUAGCUGGUCUGAGAGGAUGACCAGCCAAACUGGAACUGAGACACGGUCCAGACUCCUACGGGAGGCAGCAGUGGGGAAUAUUGGACAAUGGGCGAAAGCCUGAUGCAGCCAUGCCGCGUGUGUGAAGAAGGCCUUCGGGUUGUAAAGCACUUUAAGCGAGGAGGCGUUACUCGCAGAAGAAGCACCGGCUAACUCCGUGCCAGCAGCCGCGGUAAUUC
This 406-nucleotide ribosomal RNA is filed under the name uncultured bacterium. RNAcentral's name for it is "partial 16S ribosomal RNA". It matches the Rfam family "Bacterial small subunit ribosomal RNA", at positions 30 to 526 of the family's 1533-position model. The record is from RNAcentral.